CCUACGGGAGGCUGCAGUGAGGGAUAUUGGUCAAUGGGCGUAAGCCUGAACCAGCCAAGUCGCGUGAGGGAUGAAGGUUCUAUGGAUCGUAAACCCUAUUUAUAAGGGAAUAAAGGGUGGGACGUGUCCUAUUUUGUAUGUACCUUAUGAAUAAGGAUCGGCUAACUCCGUGCCAGCAGCCGCGGGAAUACGGAGGGUCCGAGCGUUAUCCGGAUUUAUUGGGUGUAAAGGGUGCGUAGGCGGCCUUUUAAGUCAGCGGUGAAAGUCUGUGGCUCAACCAUAGAAUUGCCGUUGAAACUGGGGGGCUUGAGUAUGUUUGAGGCAGGCGGAAUGCGUGGUGUAGCGGUGAAAUGCUUAGAUAUCACGCAGAACCCCGAUUGCGAAGGCAGCCUGCCAAGCCAUGACUGACGCUGAUGCACGAAAGCGUGGGGAUCAAACAGGAUUAGAUACCCUUGUAGUC
RNAcentral lists this ribosomal RNA (460 nucleotides) under uncultured bacterium. RNAcentral describes it as "partial 16S ribosomal RNA". It matches the Rfam family "Bacterial small subunit ribosomal RNA", at positions 338 to 795 of the family's 1533-position model. The record is from RNAcentral.